RNAcentral lists this microRNA precursor (64 nucleotides) under Drosophila virilis. RNAcentral's name for it is "microRNA dvi-mir-9544c precursor". Lineage: Eukaryota; Metazoa; Arthropoda; Insecta; Diptera; Drosophilidae. The record is from miRBase by way of RNAcentral.
UUUGCACAGCGGUCUUUUUAAUGUGGUUUGUUUUGAGAAUCUUUAAAAGCACCGCCGCGCACAA